AUGCCUACAAAAAAUCAAUUGAUUCGUCAUGGUAGAGAAGAAAAACGGCGCACGGACCGUACUCGAGCUUCGGAUCAAUGUCCCCAGAAGCAAGGAGUAUGCCUGUGUGUUUCGACGAGAACACCGAAAAAACCUAAUUCAGCUCUACGUAAGAUAGCAAAAGUACGGUUGAGCAAUCGACAUGAUAUAUUUGCUCACAUUCCAGGCGAAGGUCAUAAUUCGCAGGAACAUUCUAUAGUCUUAGUCAGAGGAGGUAGAGUGAAAGAUUCGCCAGGUGUGAAAUCCCAUCAUAUUCGAGGAGUCAAGGAUUUGCUGGGAAUUCCGGAUCGUAGAAAGGGAAGAUCUAAAUAUGGUGCAGAAAGACCUAAAUCGAAAUGA
This 378-nucleotide ribosomal RNA is filed under the name Triticum aestivum (bread wheat). Its description in RNAcentral is "partial small subunit ribosomal RNA". Lineage: Eukaryota; Viridiplantae; Streptophyta; Magnoliopsida; Poales; Poaceae. The record is from RNAcentral.